RNAcentral lists this transfer RNA (77 nucleotides) under Bacillota bacterium. RNAcentral describes it as "Firmicutes bacterium (anaerobic digester metagenome) tRNA-Val". It matches the Rfam family "tRNA". Rfam says of the family: Transfer RNA (tRNA) molecules are approximately 80 nucleotides in length. Their secondary structure includes four short double-helical elements and three loops (D, anti-codon, and T loops). The record is from RNAcentral. Lineage: Bacteria; Bacillati; Bacillota.
GGGGGGGUAGCUCAGUUGGUUAGAGCGCUACGUUGACAUCGUAGAGGCCAACGGUUCGAGUCCGUUCCUCCCCACCA